GUAUGCCUACGGGAGGCAGCAGUGGGGAAUAUUGCACAAUGGGGGGAACCCUGAUGCAGCGACGCCGCGUGGGUGAAGAAGUAUUUCGGUAUGUAAAGCCCUAUCAGCAGGGAAGAAAAAUGACGGUACCUGACUAAGAAGCACCGGCUAAAUACGUGCCAGCAGCCGCGGUAAUACGUAUGGUGCAAGCGUUAUCCGGAUUUACUGGGUGUAAAGGGAGCGCAGGCGGCUUUGCAAGUCAGAAGUGAAAUCCAUGGGCUUAACCCAUGAACUGCUUUUGAAACUGCAGAGCUUGAGUGGAGUAG
RNAcentral lists this ribosomal RNA (305 nucleotides) under uncultured bacterium. RNAcentral's name for it is "bacterial SSU rRNA". It matches the Rfam family "Bacterial small subunit ribosomal RNA", at positions 333 to 654 of the family's 1533-position model. The record is from RNAcentral.